UGGGGAAUUUUGCACAAUGGGGGAAACCCUGAUGCAGCGACGCCGCGUGAUUUAGAAGGCCUUCGGGUUGUAAAAAUCUUUUCUAUGGGAAGAAAAUGACAGUACCAUAGGAAUAAGGACCGGCUAAUUACGUGCCAGCAGCCGCGGUAAUACGUAAGGUCCGAGCGUUGUCCGGAAUCAUUGGGCGUAAAGGGUACGUAGGCGGGUAAGCAAGUUAGAAGUGAAAUCCUAUAGCUCAACUAUAGUAAGCUUUUAAAAAUGCUCAUCUUGAGGUAUGGAAGGGAAAGUGGAAUUCCUAGUGUAGCGGUGAAAUGCGCAGAUAUUAGGAGGAAUACCGGUGGCGAAGGCGACUUGCUGGCCAUAGCCUGACGCUGAGGUACGAAAGCGUGGGUAGCAAACAGG
Molecule: ribosomal RNA, 402 nt
Filed under: bacterium
Lineage: Bacteria
Description: partial 16S ribosomal RNA
Rfam family: Bacterial small subunit ribosomal RNA
Source: RNAcentral